RNAcentral lists this ribosomal RNA (253 nucleotides) under uncultured bacterium. RNAcentral's name for it is "partial 16S ribosomal RNA". It matches the Rfam family "Bacterial small subunit ribosomal RNA", at positions 524 to 776 of the family's 1533-position model. The record is from RNAcentral.
UACGGAGGGUGCAAGCGUUACUCGGAAUUACUGGGCGUAAAGCGUGCGUAGGUGGUUCGUUAAGUCUGAUGUGAAAGCCCUGGGCUCAACCUGGGAAUGGCAUUGGAAACUGGCGAUCUAGAGUGCGGUAGAGGGUAGUGGAAUUCCCGGUGUAGCAGUGAAAUGCGUAGAGAUCGGGAGGAACAUCUGUGGCGAAGGCGACUGCCUGGACCAGCACUGACACUGAGGCACGAAAGCGUGGGGAGCAAACAGG